Non-coding RNA from Sardina pilchardus (European sardine), 471 nucleotides. Lineage: Eukaryota; Metazoa; Chordata; Actinopteri; Clupeiformes; Clupeidae. The record is from the annotation of a RefSeq genome assembly.
AUGACCUUCAUCACCUUAAUCCUGGAAAUGCUCCUCAGUCUUCAUGGAUCCAGAGGUCAGUACACUCUGACUCAGACUCCAGCGGUGAAAGCUGCAUCUGUGGUGGGGGACACGGCCAUUCUGAACUGUGAAGUCAGCAGUGCUGUGUACUGGCACGAGUUCACUGGAGACUACCUUCACUGGUAUCAACAGAAACCUGGAGGAGCUCCUAAACUUUUGAUUACAUUGGCAAGCACACCACAUUCUGGAACUCCAUCUAGAUUCGAAGGGAGUGGAUCAAGCACAGACUUCACUCUGACCAUCAGUGGAGUCCAGACUGAAGAUGCAGGAGAUUACUACUCUUUGAGUCUCUGCAGAUGGUGUGCUGUUUAUAUGAGCAGUGAGAGUGGGCUGCGCACACGUAUCCUCAGCAAGUUCCUGGACACUAGAAAGAGUUCUGCUCAGGCGUUAUUAUGGACGGCCGAGCAGUGA